This 468-nucleotide ribosomal RNA is filed under the name uncultured bacterium. Its description in RNAcentral is "partial 16S ribosomal RNA". It matches the Rfam family "Bacterial small subunit ribosomal RNA", at positions 28 to 507 of the family's 1533-position model. The record is from RNAcentral.
GACGAACGCUGGCGGCGUGCUUAACACAUGCAAGUCGAACGGAAAGGCCCUGCUUUUGCUGCGUGCUCGUGAGGCGAGCGGGGGAGUAUCACGCGAGUAACCUCCCCUUGACAGUGUGAUAACAUCAGGAAACUGGGGCGCAUACCGCAGAGGAUCUCCUGCUCCGUGGGGUGCAUUGGUAAGAUUCGGCGGUUGGGGAUGGACUCGAUGCUUAUCAGCUUGUUGGUCUGGUAGUGACUUACCAAGGCUUUGACGGGUAGCCGGCCUGAGAGGGUUAACGGCGACAUGGGGACUGAGGUACGGACCAGACGGCAACGGGAGGCAGCGGUGGGGAAUAUUGCGGAAUGGGCGCAAGUCUGAUGCAGCGACGCUGCGUGCGGGAUGCUGGCCUUCGGGUUGUAAACAGCUUUCGACUGUGCCGAAGCGAUCGUGACGGUAACUGGUCAGGAAGCCACGGCUAACUACGUG